Molecule: small nuclear RNA, 102 nt
Organism: Heterocephalus glaber (naked mole-rat)
Lineage: Eukaryota; Metazoa; Chordata; Mammalia; Rodentia; Bathyergidae
Source: Ensembl
ACUUGCUUCGGCAGAGCACAUACUAAAAUUGGAACGAUACAGAGAUUAGCAUGGCCCCUCCGCAAGGAUGACAUGCAAAUUUGUGAUGUGUUCCAUAUUUAA